UUUUAUUAUAUAAAAUGAUCAAACCAUUUUAUAUUUGUUACAUGCAAGCUGAAAAAAAUGUCUGAUAAUCUCAAGUUUGUUUAUAUUUUGACCCUUUUUGUUUCUCUAUUUCUCGUUGUAGUUCUUGGUCAAAGAGAGUGUAAUACUGACGAAGAAUGCCAUAAAAAAUUUCCACUUGCUUCUGCACCAAUGACAUGCUACGAAGGUUAUUGUUAUUUCAAAAAUUCAUCAAUGAACUUUAAUGUUAAAAGAAAUUGAAUUUUCAAAAUAUGUUGGAGAUUUAUAUCUAUAUCCUAUAUCAUAUCCUAUCCUAUAUCCUAUAUUAUUAACAAAUGACACCUUAUUCAUGCAAUAUCGACGCGUGUACUUUCCAUUUAUGCAUUGAUGAUGUGAUAAUUUUUAUUAAAUAUUAAAUAAAAUAUAUUUUAUAAUUA
Molecule: long non-coding RNA, 434 nt
Organism: Trifolium pratense (red clover)
Lineage: Eukaryota; Viridiplantae; Streptophyta; Magnoliopsida; Fabales; Fabaceae
Exons: 2
Source: RefSeq, a predicted model, not a curated record